RNAcentral lists this ribosomal RNA (420 nucleotides) under uncultured bacterium. Its description in RNAcentral is "partial 16S ribosomal RNA". It matches the Rfam family "Bacterial small subunit ribosomal RNA", at positions 362 to 774 of the family's 1533-position model. The record is from RNAcentral.
UUGUGGAGAAUGGUAUAAACCCGGAUCCAGCUAUACCGCUUGUAUGAUGAAGGCCUUCNGGUUGUNANAUACUUUUGGCAGAGAANAAAAGGUAUCUCCUAAUACGAGAUACUGCUGACGGUAUCUGCAGAAUAAUCACCGUCUAACUACGUGCAAGCAGCCGCUGUAAUACGUAGGGUUCAAGCGUUAAUUUGAAUAACUGGGCGUAAAGCUGAGGUAGGCGGUUCGGAAAGAAAGAUGUGAAGCCCCAGGACUCAACCAUGGAACUGCAUUUUUAACUGCCAAGCUAGAGUAUGUCAGAGGGUGGUAGAAUUCCACGUGUAACAGUGAAAUGCGUAGGUAUGUGGAGGAAUACCGAUGGCGAAGGCAGCCCCCUGGGAUAAUACUGACGCUCAGACACAAAAGCGUGGGGAGCAAACA